This 468-nucleotide ribosomal RNA is filed under the name uncultured bacterium. RNAcentral's name for it is "partial 16S ribosomal RNA". It matches the Rfam family "Bacterial small subunit ribosomal RNA", at positions 28 to 507 of the family's 1533-position model. The record is from RNAcentral.
GACGAACGCUGGCGGCGUGCUUAACACAUGCAAGUCGAACGGAAAGGCCCUGCUUUUGUGGGGUGCUCGAGUGGCGAACGGGUGAGUAACAUGUGAGUAACCUGCCCUUGACUUUGGGAUAACUUCAGGAAACUGGGGCUAAUACCGGAUAGGAGCUCCUGCUGCAUGGUGGGGGUUGGAAAGUUUCGGCGGUUGGGGAUGGACUCGCGGCUUAUCAGCUUGUUGGUGGGGUAGUGGCUUACCAAGGCCUUGACGGGUAGCCGGCCUGAGAGGGUGACCGGCCACAUUGGGACUGAGAUACGGCCCAGACUCCUACGGGAGGCAGCAGUGGGGAAUAUUGCACAAUGGGCGGAAGCCUGAUGCAGCAACGCCGCGUGCGGGAUGACGGCCUUCGGGUUGUAAACCGCUUUCGCCUGUGACGAAGCGUGAGUGACGGUAAUGGGUAAAGAAGCACCGGCUAACUACGUG